AUUUCAGUUUCUUCUUUCUCCAGCAGCCGUGAGACUCAAAUUACAAGGUUCUAGUAAGGAUAAGUACGAUCAGUAAGGAGCUAUCGGAUCAUCUUUUGGAAAGAUAUAUAUAUCAUCAGUAUCAAUUAAGAGCCUACACAAGUUCCAAAGCGAUUGCCCAAUAAGAUCGAUCGAGGAAAAACAAAUAAAUAUAGGAUCCGAGAAAGUAGACGAGACAUGUUAAGCAGAUGGAAAAUACUACUCCUGCAACUAUCAUAUUAGAGGCAACUUAAUCA
Molecule: long non-coding RNA, 275 nt
Organism: Hibiscus syriacus
Lineage: Eukaryota; Viridiplantae; Streptophyta; Magnoliopsida; Malvales; Malvaceae
Exons: 4
Source: RefSeq, a predicted model, not a curated record